GAUGAAGAACGUAGCGAAAUGCGAUAAGUAAUGUGAAUUGCAGAAUUCAGUGAAUCAUCGAAUCUUUGAACGCACCUUGCGCCCCUUGGUUAUUCCGAAGGGCAUGCCUGUUUGAGUAUCAUGAACACCUCAACUCUUGUGGUUUCCCACAAUGAGCUUGGACCAUGGAGGUUUUUGUUGGCCCUCUGGUCAGCUCCUCUCAAAUGGAUCAGCUUACCGGUGUUUGGUGGCAUCAUGGGUGUGAUAACUAUCUACGCUUGUGGUCGUCUCCAAAUAACCUCCAGUGAUGGAGGUUCGCUGGAGCUUAUAAACGUCUCUCCCCAGUGAAGACAGCCUUUGAACGUUCGAUCUCAAAUCAGGUAGGACUACCCGCUGAACUUAAGCAUAUCAAUAAGCGGAGGA
RNAcentral lists this unclassified non-coding RNA (402 nucleotides) under soil metagenome. Its description in RNAcentral is "partial contains 5.8S ribosomal RNA, internal transcribed spacer 2, and large subunit ribosomal RNA". The stretch from base 1 to 121 matches the Rfam family "5.8S ribosomal RNA", at positions 35 to 154 of the family's 154-position model. The record is from RNAcentral.